This 370-nucleotide unclassified non-coding RNA is filed under the name uncultured fungus. RNAcentral describes it as "partial contains small subunit ribosomal RNA, internal transcribed spacer 1, and 5.8S ribosomal RNA". The stretch from base 1 to 146 matches the Rfam family "Eukaryotic small subunit ribosomal RNA", at positions 1759 to 1831 of the family's 1831-position model. The record is from RNAcentral. Lineage: Eukaryota; Fungi.
GCAAACUUGGUCAUUUAGAGGAAGUAAAAGUCGUAACAAGGUUUCCGUAGGUAAGUAGAGGCUUUCCAUCUUUAUACCCCCUUAUUUCUAUGCUUGAAUAAUGUGCUAACUUUUCCCUUUUAGGUGAACCUGCGGAAGGAUCAUUAUAGAGUGUUUACCCCCCCAUAAAAAGGGGGAUUAACCUCCCCGUCCUUUGCUGAGCCCCCCUUUCUGGCGGGCUUUUCAAAAUCUUCUGCUUCGGCGGGGUUUACCCGUCGGAACACUCUCAAAAUUCUUGGUUAAAACCUUUCUGUCCGAGAACUGGGAAAAAAAAUUAUUGAAAACUUUCAACAACGGAUCUCUUGGUUCUGGCAUCGAUGAAGAACGCAGC